GAUGAAGAACGCAGCGAAAUGCGAUAAGUAGUGUGAAUUGCAGAAUUCAGUGAAUCAUCGAAUCUUUGAACGCACAUUGCGCCCCUUGGUAUUCCAUGGGGCAUGCCUGUUCGAGCGUCAUUUGUACCUUCAAGCUUUGCUUGGUGUUGGGUGUUUGUCUCGCCUUUGCGUGUAGACUCGCCUUAAAAUAAUUGGCAGCCGGCGUAUUGAUUUCGGAGCGCAGUACAUCUCACGCUUUGCACUCAUAACGACAGCGUCCAAAAGUACAUUUUACACUCUUGACCUCGGAUCAGGUAGGGAUACCCGCUGAACUUAAGCAUAUCAAUAAGCGGAGGA
RNAcentral lists this unclassified non-coding RNA (336 nucleotides) under soil metagenome. RNAcentral's name for it is "partial contains 5.8S ribosomal RNA, internal transcribed spacer 2, and large subunit ribosomal RNA". The stretch from base 1 to 120 matches the Rfam family "5.8S ribosomal RNA", at positions 35 to 154 of the family's 154-position model. The record is from RNAcentral.